RNAcentral lists this ribosomal RNA (563 nucleotides) under uncultured soil bacterium. RNAcentral's name for it is "bacterial SSU rRNA". It matches the Rfam family "Bacterial small subunit ribosomal RNA", at positions 324 to 898 of the family's 1533-position model. The record is from RNAcentral.
ACACGGCCCAGACUCCUACGGGAGGCAGCAGUAGGGAAUCUUGCGCAAUGCGCGAAAGCGUGACGCAGCAACGCCGCGUGGGGGAAGAAGGCCUUCGGGUUGUAAACCCCUUUCAGUUGGGACGAAGCGAGAGUGACGGUACCUGCAGAAGAAGCGCCGGUUAACUACGUGCCAGCAGCCGCGGUAACACGUAGGGCGCAAGCGUUGUCCGGAAUUAUUGGGCGUAAAGAGCUCGUAGGCGGUCUGUUGCGUCCGCUGUGAAAUCUCGGGGCUUAACCCCGAGCCUGCAGUGGAUACGGGCAGACUAGAGGUAGGUAGGGGAGAAUGGAAUUCCUGGUGUAGCGGUGAAAUGCGCAGAUAUCAGGAGGAACACCAAUGGCGAAGGCAGCUCGCUGGGACGUGACUGACGCUGAGACGCGAAAGCGUGGGGAGCAAACAGGAUUAGAUACCCUGGUAGUCCACGCCGUAAACGUUGGGCGCUAGGUGUGGGUCCCUUCCACGGGGUCUGUGCCGCAGCUAACGCAUUAAGCGCCCCGCCUGGGGAGUACGGCCGCAAGGCUAAA